RNAcentral lists this ribosomal RNA (497 nucleotides) under uncultured bacterium. RNAcentral's name for it is "partial 16S ribosomal RNA". It matches the Rfam family "Bacterial small subunit ribosomal RNA", at positions 28 to 507 of the family's 1533-position model. The record is from RNAcentral.
GAUGAACGCUGGCGGCGUGCCUAAUACAUGCAAGUCGAGCGAACGGACGAGAAGCUUGCUUCUCUGAUGUUAGCGGCGGACGGGUGAGUAACACGUGGAUAACCUACCUAUAAGACUGGGAUAACUUCGGGAAACCGGAGCUAAUACCGGAUAAUAUUUUGAACCGCAUGGUUCAAAAGUGAAAGACGGUCUUGCUGUCACUUAUAGAUGGAUCCGCGCUGCAUUAGCUAGUUGGUAAGGUAACGGCUUACCAAGGCAACGAUGCAUAGCCGACCUGAGAGGGUGAUCGGCCACACUGGAACUGAGACACGGGCGAGACGCCUACGGGAGGCAGCAGCAGGGAAUUUUAGGCAAUGGUCGAAAGCCUGACGGAGCAACGCCGCGUGAGUGAUGAAGGUCUUCGGAUCGUAAAACUCUGUUAUUAGGGAAGAACAUAUGUGUAAGUAACUGUGCACAUCUUGACGGUACCUAAUCAGAAAGCCACGGCUAACUACGUG